Molecule: ribosomal RNA, 560 nt
Filed under: uncultured bacterium
Lineage: Bacteria
Description: partial 16S ribosomal RNA
Rfam family: Bacterial small subunit ribosomal RNA
Source: RNAcentral
UGGGGAAUUUUGGACAAUGGGCGAAAGCCUGAUCCAGCAAUGCCGCGUGUGUGAAGAAGGCCUUCGGGUUGUAAAGCACUUUUGUCCGGAAAGAAAUCCUUGGCUCUAAUACAGUCGGGGGAUGACGGUACCGGAAGAAUAAGCACCGGCUAACUACGUGCCAGCAGCCGCGGUAAUACGUAGGGUGCAAGCGUUAAUCGGAAUUACUGGGCGUAAAGCGUGCGCAGGCGGUUUGCUAAGACCGAUGUGAAAUCCCCGGGCUCAACCUGGGAACUGCAUUGGUGACUGGCAGGCUAGAGUAUGGCAGAGGGGGGUAGAAUUCCACGUGUAGCAGUGAAAUGCGUAGAGAUGUGGAGGAAUACCGAUGGCGAAGGCAGCCCCCUGGGCCAAUACUGACGCUCAUGCACGAAAGCGUGGGGAGCAAACAGGAUUAGAUACCCUGGUAGUCCACGCCCUAAAACGAUGUCAACUAGUUGUUGGGGAUUCAUUUCCUUAGUAACGUAGCUAACGCGUGAAGUUGACCGCCUGGGGAGUACGGUCGCAAGAUUAAAACUCAUGAA